This 1061-nucleotide long non-coding RNA is filed under the name Mustela putorius furo (domestic ferret). RNAcentral's name for it is "lncRNA (ENSMPUG00000027846.1)". Lineage: Eukaryota; Metazoa; Chordata; Mammalia; Carnivora; Mustelidae. The record is from RNAcentral.
CAAAUAAAUAAAAUCAUAAAAAAAAAAUCAAGAUAUUUUGGUUCGAAAAUUAUCAGCCACCUCUCAUUUCCAGAUUCAGAAUGCCCGCCCCAUUCAAACCCAAGAUGUAUCCGAGAGUCUCUACUAGUAUGCCAAAAGGUAGCAAAACCAGUCGAUUACUUCCACGCAUCAGUGAAAUGAAUAAGGAGAGACAGACGCAGGACGAGUAAUGGUUACGUUAAACGAACAACUUAGCAAUUCCCUUUCUGUGUCCAAGUCCCACAUUUCAUUAACUGAGGUCUUGUCUACUUUUUGUGCUAGCCAGAAAGUGGGGAGAAAGACAGGUGGAUCAGGUGGACGGGUGGACAGAAGGUGUGAUUGUGAAUUUCAGGCACUUGUGGAGGAAAAGAACCAGCCUGAGUACGCGAAUGAAUGAGGCAGGGACCAGUUCUCUCCAGGGAGGCCUCGCUGGGGAAAAUCAGCUCAGGGCUUCAGCUCAAAGGAAGACCAGACCCAGAAUGGGCUUUGGGCUGAGCGUCGCUUAACAGUCUGAAAGUACAGACAGAUUCAUCGCACCCAUGGUGCCAGCCUACCACGCCACCUUCUGAGUGAGCAACCCAGAGAAUUCAUUCCAUGAUGUCACAAUACUGACAGUGUCCUACACGUGCCAAGCUUCAGGAGGUGCUGGGAACCAAGACCUCAUCCUUCCCUCAGGACACAUGAAAUUCAGCCAAGGAAGGGCUCAAGGUCAGAGCCUAGUCAACAAGAGGGCUCCCAGGAGGCUUUGGUCAGGAGAGAGACUUGGUCAGAGUGCUUCCAGCAGGAAAGGCCUAUUUGGGCUGCAGAAUGAAAGCCGACAGACGUUGCACGGCGGCAGAUUUCCAAGCAGAGAGAAGGAACCUUCCCCAGUCCUGCUUCUAAGAACAAAGUCCAGGAGGUGUCCUGUGUGUCUCACCAAUUCACAAACCAAAGUUUGGCAGCUGGUCGGGCCGAGCUACGGGAUGGCACAGCAAGACCGGUUCCGACCCUCAGCCUCACCUGUCUCUCAUUCCCACGGCCACCAUAGCCACCAGCACCUGUAA